UCUCCCUUUACCCCUCUCCCCAACUCGGGCACCCACUCUUCUCUCUCUAAAAUAAAUAAAUAAAAUAUUUUUUAAAAAGACAGGCCAAAAAGGAUGUGCUACCCACCCCCCCAGUCUUCCUCAUGGUGUCGGUGAUAAUUUAUGUAAUAUCCCCAAGGAAAAGUUUAAUGUCAGAACAAGAGUCUUAGUAACAACAUUUGGCAGUCUCCUCCCUCUAUGGAGAUUCUCCUUUUAAUGUCACCUUUGGCAGAUCAGGAUUCACAUUUAAGAGACCCAGUGGAUUUCCUGACAACUUCUUCCACAAUUUUCUCAUCUCAGGCCCAUGGUUCCAUUUUGGUCACCAUGGCCACAGUGACUGAGACGGCCCACUACAUCCUUUGCAAAGGACAGCCUUCAGCUUCAGACUCCAAGCUAACUGCUUGUAGAAAAAUAAUCAGGACCAGCUUCCUCGGCAGAUAUAGGGAGAUACAGAUCUUCCUGGACUUAUGAUGAGGUUACAUCCCAAUAAACCUAUUGUAAGUUGAAAAUAUCGUAAAUAA
Molecule: long non-coding RNA, 539 nt
Filed under: Ursus americanus (American black bear)
Lineage: Eukaryota; Metazoa; Chordata; Mammalia; Carnivora; Ursidae
Description: lncRNA (ENSUAMG00000015500.1)
Source: RNAcentral